Long non-coding RNA from Amphiprion ocellaris (clown anemonefish), 1925 nucleotides. NCBI's taxonomy places the organism in Eukaryota, Metazoa, Chordata, Actinopteri, Pomacentridae. The record is from Ensembl.
AAGUUAAACAUUAAAAGGUGGUAAAACAUUUAAAGAGGAAAAACCUUAAAGAUUUAAUCGAAACAUUAAAUAUUGGGAAAGAAAAAGAAACUCAAACAAGCCGAUAAAACAUUUGAAAAAACAAUUAAACAUUAAAAAGACAAAACAUUUGGAAAUCAAAUCAGACAUUAGAAAAGAAUAAAAGGUUAGAAAAGAGCAAACCUAAAUGUUUAAGAAGAAUCAAACUAAAGACAAAACAUUUGAAAAGACACCAGUUAGACUUUAGAAGAUCAAAUUAAACAGAAGAGACAAUAAAACGAUCAAAAGGAGCAAAUACAGAUAAAAGUCUUAAAGCGUUUUCUAGUCUGAAACGAAAACAUCAAGUUGUUUCUUCAAACAUUUCCUCUUUCUAUGUUCUUGGUUUGAUUGGGGACAGAUUUACUAAGAACUCAUUUCAGAAAACUGCUUUCCAGAUAAAGUCUACUAGUAGUUGAAGGCAUUGAUUAAACUAAUGUUACCUUCUGAUCUCCACAAACUUUACUGUUCAGUGAAGAGAAUCAAAGUUUGUUAAGGAUUUCUGAAAAACCCACAGGUGAAGGUCUGAGAAGAACUCAGAUGGAUCAUCUAAAUGUGAAAUCAAGACUCAUGGUCACAAGUUUUAAGGCUUCUGUUAACCAUAAAGUUCAAACUAACAGAAGUACUGAGAAACUUUUAAAACUUCAGUCCUCAGACUGUCUGAAGGUUCAAACUAACAGAGAAGUACUGAGAAACUUUGAAGAUUUCAGUCCUCAGACUGUCUGAAGGUUCAAACUAACAGAGAACUACUGUGGGACUUAGAAAAUUUCAGCCCUCAGACUGUCUGAAAGCUCAGGUCCUGAGGACUCGGGAGGCCUGGAGGCUUUGGAAAGUCUUGGAAAUGAGGGUUCCACCCUCCAGAACAAAGGCUGAAGCCCAACCUCCUGAGAAAAAUGGCUGACUCGAGACCCGAGUUAAAAAAAACUCGAAAAUGACAAAAAAAUAGAUGAUAAAUGCGCAAAAAAAAGAGGAAUUAGUAUCUGAGCGGAUAGCUCAGGGGGAUAAGAGGAGAGACUACAGAGCGGAGGGUCGCAGGUUCAAGACCCACCAGUGGCAGUUUUCUUUCUUUGUCUUUGUCAGGAUUUUGAUAAAACUUAAGAAGGGUCUGGUCUUGAACCAGCGACCUGCAGCUCCAUAGGCAAAUCCUUAACUCACUGAGCUACAGAUCAGAUACAAAGAAAUAAAUUCGUCGUCCCUUUGGCAUCGUAGUUCCUGAAGUGACCACAUAGGUGGAGCCAAGGCGGAGUCUGGGUGGAGUCAGGGCGGAGAGUAGGCGGGGAGGUGGGUGGCGGCCUCCCCCCUCUACUCCCCCACCUCCCCUCACCACCCACCACACCUUCCCCCGCCCCACGAGUUCUUCGAGUCUCCACGAGUUCUUCGAGUCUCCACGAGUUCCUCGAGUCUCAACAGGUUUUCCCGAGUUUCUGGAGUUUCCACCAGGUCCGAGGCAGGACAAGUUGUCAUGAAGAGGUGUUGAAGUCAGCCAGGAUGGACUGACUUUUUACAGCGACUAGAAGGAAGACCACUAGAAGAGCAGGUCUUUAACCACCAUCCAUAAAAUCCAUGGAGUCGCUCCAGAGAAAUGAAAGAAGGUCGACUUUUAUCAACCUCCAUCCAGAUGUUCAACUUGAUAUCUUUACUUUGACAUUUUUAGUACCACAAACCUUUAGUAUCACACUUUAUUAUCAUUUAUUAGGACUUUAAUGGAAUCCACCAGCAGAUUUAGUUUUUGUUGACAAACUUUAUUCUUGUCGUCGUGGGACUGCAGUAUUUAAAACUGUUCCUUCUAUUUGACCUCAUGUUUAUUAGUUUUAGUGGAGAAACUUAUUUUAAUUGUCAAUUAGUCUCUUAAAAACUAAAUAAUAAAUUGG